AGUGAACGCUGGCGGUAGGCCUAACACAUGCAGGUCGAACGGCAGCACAGUAAGAGCUUGCUCUUACGGGUGGCGAGUGGCGGACGGGUGAGGAAUACAUCGGAAUCUACUUUUUCGUGGGGGAUAACGUAGGGAAACUUACGCUAAUACCGCAUACGACCUACGGGUGAAAGCAGGGGAUCUUCGGACCUUGCGCGAUUGAAUGAGCCGAUGUCGGAUUAGCUAAUUGGCGGGGUAAAGGCCCACCAAGGCGACGAUCCGUAGCUGGUCUGAGAGGAUGAUCAGCCACACUGGAACUGAGACACGGUCCAGACUCCUACGGGAGGCAGCAGUGGGGAAUAUUGGACAAUGGGCGCAAGCCUGAUCCAGCCAUACCGCGUGGGUGAAGAAGGCCUUCGGGUUGUAAAGCCCUUUUGUUGGGAAAGAAAAGCAGCAGGUUAAUACCCCGCUGUUCUGACGGUACCCAAAGAAUAAGCACCGGCUAACUUCGUG
RNAcentral lists this ribosomal RNA (492 nucleotides) under uncultured bacterium. Its description in RNAcentral is "partial 16S ribosomal RNA". It matches the Rfam family "Bacterial small subunit ribosomal RNA", at positions 29 to 507 of the family's 1533-position model. The record is from RNAcentral.